CGGCGUAAAGGGUGGUCUGGGAAAAGAUAAAAUAAAGCUAAAGACCUACUAAGCCGUUACACGCACCCCGAAGGCACGAAAUCCUAAUACGAAAGUAGCUUUACCACCACCCCAGCACCACGAAAGCUAAGAAACAAACUGGGAUUAGAUACCCCACUAUG
This 161-nucleotide ribosomal RNA is filed under the name Leporinus sp. I-GIA:397. RNAcentral's name for it is "partial small subunit ribosomal RNA". The record is from RNAcentral. Lineage: Eukaryota; Metazoa; Chordata; Actinopteri; Characiformes; Anostomidae.